CGUGCACGCUGGCGGUAGGCCUAACACAUGCAAGUCGAACGGCAGCACAGUAAGAGCUUGCUCUUACGGGUGGCGAGUGGCGGACGGGUGAGGAAUACAUCGGAAUCUACUUUUUCGUGGGGGAUAACGUAGGGAAACUUACGCUAAUACCGCAUACGACCUACGGGUGAAAGCAGGGGAUCUUCGGACCCUGCGCGAUUGAAUGAGCCGAUGUCGGAUUAGCUAGUUGGCGGGGUAAAGGCCCACCAAGGCGACGAUCCGUAGCUGGUCUGAGAGGAUGAUCAGCCACACUGGAACUGAGACACGGUCCAGACUCCUACGGGAGGCAGCAGUGGGGAAUAUUGGACAAUGGGCGCAAGCCUGAUCCAGCCAUACCGCGUGGGUGAAGAAGGCCUUCGGGUUGUAAAGCCCUUUUGUUGGGAAAGAAAAGCAGCAGGUUAAUACCCCGCUGUUCUGACGGUACCCAAAGAAUAAGCACCGGCUAACUUCGUG
This 492-nucleotide ribosomal RNA is filed under the name uncultured bacterium. RNAcentral describes it as "partial 16S ribosomal RNA". It matches the Rfam family "Bacterial small subunit ribosomal RNA", at positions 29 to 507 of the family's 1533-position model. The record is from RNAcentral.